AGAGUUUGAUCAUGGCUCAGAUUGAACGCUGGCGGCAGGCCUAACACAUGCAAGUCGAACGGUAACAGAAAGCAGCUUGCUGCUUUGCUGACGAGUGGCGGACGGGUGAGUAAUGUCUGGGAAACUGCCUGAUGGAGGGGGAUAACUACUGGAAACGGUAGCUAAUACCGCAUAACGUCGCAAGACCAAAGAGGGGGACCUUCGGGCCUCUUGCCAUCGGAUGUGCCCAGAUGGGAUUAGCUUGUUGGUGGGGUAACGGCUCACCAAGGCGACGAUCCCUAGCUGGUCUGAGAGGAUGACCAGCCACACUGGAACUGAGACACGGUCCAGACUCCUACGGGAGGCAGCAGUGGGGAAUAUUGCACAAUGGGCGCAAGCCUGAUGCAGCCAUGCCGCGUGUAUGAAGAAGGCCUUCGGGUUGUAAAGUACUUUCAGCGGGGAGGAAGGGAGUAAAGUUAAUACCUUUGCUCAUUGACGUUACCCGCAGAAGAAGCACCGGCUAACUCCGUGCCAGCAGCCGCGGUAAUACGGAGGGUGCAAGCGUUAAUCGGAAUUACUGGGCGUAAAGCGCACGCAGGCGGUUUGUUAAGUCAGAUGUGAAAUCCCCGGGCUCAACCUGGGAACUGCAUCUGAUACUGGCAAGCUUGAGUCUCGUAGAGGGGGGUAGAAUUCCAGGUGUAGCGGUGAAAUGCGUAGAGAUCUGGAGGAAUACCGGUGGCGAAGGCGGC
This 728-nucleotide ribosomal RNA is filed under the name Escherichia coli. Its description in RNAcentral is "bacterial SSU rRNA". It matches the Rfam family "Bacterial small subunit ribosomal RNA", at positions 8 to 725 of the family's 1533-position model. The record is from RNAcentral. Lineage: Bacteria; Pseudomonadati; Pseudomonadota; Gammaproteobacteria; Enterobacterales; Enterobacteriaceae.